RNAcentral lists this ribosomal RNA (253 nucleotides) under uncultured bacterium. Its description in RNAcentral is "partial 16S ribosomal RNA". It matches the Rfam family "Bacterial small subunit ribosomal RNA", at positions 524 to 776 of the family's 1533-position model. The record is from RNAcentral.
UACGUAGGGUGCGAGCGUUAAUCGGAAUUACUGGGCGUAAAGCGUGCGCAGGCGGUUCGCUAAGACCGAUGUGAAAUCCCCGGGCUCAACCUGGGAACUGCAUUGGUGACUGGCGGGCUAGAGUAUGGCAGAGGGGGGUGGAAUUCCACGUGUAGCAGUGAAAUGCGUAGAGAUGUGGAGGAACACCGAUGGCGAAGGCAGCCCCCUGGGCCAAUACUGACGCUCAUGCACGAAAGCGUGGGGAGCAAACAGG